Molecule: ribosomal RNA, 623 nt
Filed under: uncultured archaeon
Lineage: Archaea
Description: bacterial SSU rRNA
Rfam family: Archaeal small subunit ribosomal RNA
Source: RNAcentral
UAAUACUCCAUAGAUUAGAGACACUGGAAUGUUCUUUAGUCGAAAGUUCUGGCGCCUUAGGAUGGAUCUGCGGUCGAUUAGGUUGUUGUUGGGGUAACGGCCCAACAAGCCUGUAAUCGAUACGGGUUGUGGGAGCAAGAGCCCGGAGAUGGAAUCUGAGACACGAUUCCAGGCCCUACGGGGCGCAGCAGGCGCGAAAACUUUACAAUGCAGGAAACUGUGAUAAGGGAACUCCGAGUGCCCGUAUACGCGGGCUGUCCAGGUGUUUAAAAAUCAUCUGAAGAAAGGGCCGGGCAAGACCGGUGCCAGCCGCCGCGGUAAUACCGGCGGCUCGAGUGGUGGCCACUAUUAUUGGGCUUAAAGCGUCCGUAGCUGGACCGAUAAGUCUCUUGGGAAAUCCGCCGGCUCAACCGGCGGGCGUCUAAGGGAUACUGUUAGUCUAGGGACCGGGAGAGGUGAGAGGUACUCCGGGGGUAGGAGUGAAAUCCUGUAAUCCCCGGGGGACCACCGAUGGCGAAGGCAUCUCACCAGAACGGCUCCGACAGUGAGGGACGAAAGCUGGGGGAGCGAACCGGAUUAGAUACCCGGGUAGUCCCAGCCGUAACUAUGCGCGUUAGGUGUAC